GCUUGAACUACACUAUCUAGGUGUAAUUAAAAACUCUCGUGAGUCCCUACUGUCAUCAGUAAGUUAAAUCUCCAUUACAACUACACCAUCAUAACAGCCUACUCCAUCCAUUCUUUGCAUUUUAAUAGUCUCUGCCUCUGUAAGUAACAAGCAAGCUUCUGUGAAGAACCCAUUGCAAAUUUAUUCCUAAAAUCUCGGCUCUUCACCUUUCAAGGAAUGGAACUCAUGAAAUUGAGUAAACAAAUUGCGGGAUGGCAUGCCACAUUCAUUCAGAAAACAUGCUGAUUACUCAGCAAAAUGGCGUUUAGCACCACAAAGGAGCCAAGGAGAGAGCAGCUACAUCAAAUCCUCAAUGGAAUCCGAUAUCCCCACCUGUGGGAUGCCUAGAGAUAACAGGCAAUUGUGUCCAAAAAUGCAAUUACCAGAAGGGAAGAAAAAAGAGGUACUCUCUUUCCUGAGGAAUGGAAUCGUGAAAAGAGUCUUUCAUCAUGGACCAGAGUAUACUCAAAGCA
This is a long non-coding RNA of Acinonyx jubatus (cheetah), 512 nucleotides long. RefSeq lists it as uncharacterized. NCBI's taxonomy places the organism in Eukaryota, Metazoa, Chordata, Mammalia, Carnivora, Felidae. The transcript is spliced from 2 exons. The record is from RefSeq and is a predicted model, not a curated record.